GAGUAGCUCAAUUGGAUAGAGCAACGGCCUUCUAAGCCGUCGGUUGGGGGUUCGAAUCCCUUCU
Molecule: transfer RNA, 64 nt
Filed under: chicken gut metagenome
Rfam family: tRNA
About the family: Transfer RNA (tRNA) molecules are approximately 80 nucleotides in length. Their secondary structure includes four short double-helical elements and three loops (D, anti-codon, and T loops).
Source: RNAcentral